AUUGAACGCUGGCGGAAUGCUUUACACAUGCAAGUCGAACGGUAGAGGGGGCAACCCCUCGAGAGUGGCGAACGGGUGAGUAAUAUAUCGGAACGUGCCCAGUCGUGGGGGAUAACGUAGCGAAAGUUACGCUAAUACCGCAUACGAUCUAAGGAUGAAAGCGGGGGAUCGCAAGACCUCGCGCGAUUGGAGCGGCCGAUAUCAGAUUAGGUAGUUGGUGGGGUAAAGGCUCACCAAGCCAACGAUCUGUUGCUGGUCUGAGAGGACGACCAGCCACACUGGAACUGAGACGCGGUCCAGACUCCUACGGGAGGCAGCAGAGGGGAAUUUUGGACAAUGGACGCAAGUCUGAUCCAACCAUUCCGCGUGCAGGAUGAAGGCCCUCGGGUUGUAAACUGCUUUUGUACGGAACGAAAAGGUCUCUCUUAAUACGGGGGGCUCAUGACGGUACCGUAAGAAUAAGCACCGGCUAACUACGUGCCAGCCGCCGCCGUAA
This 496-nucleotide ribosomal RNA is filed under the name uncultured bacterium. RNAcentral's name for it is "partial 16S ribosomal RNA". It matches the Rfam family "Bacterial small subunit ribosomal RNA", at positions 30 to 523 of the family's 1533-position model. The record is from RNAcentral.